UACGGGGGGAGCAAGCGUUGUUCGGAUUCAUUGGGCGUAAAGGGUGCGUAGGCGGCGCGGUAAGUCGGGUGUGAAAUCUCGGAGCUUAACUCCGAAACUGCAUUCGAUACUGCCGUGCUUGAGGACUGGAGAGGAGACUGGAAUUUACGGUGUAGCGGUGAAAUGCGUAGAUAUCGUAAGGAAGACCAGUGGCGAAGGCGGGUCUCUGGACAGUUCCUGACGCUGAGGCACGAAGGUCAGGGGAGCAAACGGG
Molecule: ribosomal RNA, 253 nt
Filed under: uncultured bacterium
Lineage: Bacteria
Description: partial 16S ribosomal RNA
Rfam family: Bacterial small subunit ribosomal RNA
Source: RNAcentral